GAUGAAGAACGUAGUGAAAUGCGAUAAGUAGUGUGAAUUGCAGAAUUCAGUGAAUCAUCGAAUCUUUGAACGCACAUUGCGCCCCUUGGUAUUCCAUGGGGCAUGCCUGUUCGAGCGUCAUUUGUACCUUCAAUCUUUGCUUGGUGUUGGGUGUUUGUCUCGCCUUUGCGUGUAGACUCGCCUUAAAAUAAUUGGCAGCCGGCGUAUUGAUUUCGGAGCGCAGUACAUCUCGCGCUUUGCACUCAUAACGACAGCGUCCAAAAGUACAUUUUACACUCUUGACCUCGGAUCAGGUAGGGAUACCCGCUGAACUUAAGCAUAUCAAUAAGCGGAGGA
This 336-nucleotide unclassified non-coding RNA is filed under the name soil metagenome. RNAcentral's name for it is "partial contains 5.8S ribosomal RNA, internal transcribed spacer 2, and large subunit ribosomal RNA". The stretch from base 1 to 120 matches the Rfam family "5.8S ribosomal RNA", at positions 35 to 154 of the family's 154-position model. The record is from RNAcentral.